GGUCAGGACGAACGCUGGCGGCGUGCCUAAUACAUGCAAGUCGAACGGUCUUUCUAUGGAAGCUUGCUUCCACUGAGAAGAUAGUGGCGAACGGGUGAGUAACACGUGGGUAACCUGCCCAUAAGAGGGGGGAUAACAUCCGGAAACGGGUGCUAAUACCGCAUAGUUUUCUUGAUCGCAUGAUCGGGAAAGGAAAGACGGCCUUUGUGCUGUCGCUUAUGGAUGGACCCGCGGCGUAUUAGUUAGUUGGUGAGGUAACGGCUCACCAAGACGAUGAUACGUAGCCGACCUGAGAGGGUGAUCGGCCACAUUGGGACUGAGACACGGCCCAAACUCCUACGGGAGGCAGCAGUAGGGAAUCUUCCGCAAUGGACGAAAGUCUGACGGAGCAACGCCGCGUGAGUGAAGAAAAGGUUUUCGGAUCGUAAAACUCUGUUGUCAGAGAAGAACAAGUUGGAGAGUAACUGCUCCAGCCUUGACGGUAUCUGACCAGAAAGCCACGGCUAACUACGUGCCAGCCGCAGC
RNAcentral lists this ribosomal RNA (525 nucleotides) under uncultured bacterium. RNAcentral describes it as "bacterial SSU rRNA". It matches the Rfam family "Bacterial small subunit ribosomal RNA", at positions 22 to 518 of the family's 1533-position model. The record is from RNAcentral.